UACGUAGGCAGCAAGCGUCGUUCGGAGUUACUGGGCGUAAAGAGUGUGUAGGUGGUUUUCUAAGUUCGGUGUGAAAUCUCCCGGCUCAACUGGGAGGGUGCGCCGAAGACUGGAAGGCUUGAGUGUGGGAGAGGAAAGCGGAAUUCCUGGUGUAGCGGUGAAAUGCGUAGAUAUCAGGAGGAACACCUGCGGUGUAGACGGCUUUCUGGACCAUAACUGACACUGAGACACGAAAGCGUGGGUAGCAAACAGG
Molecule: ribosomal RNA, 253 nt
Filed under: uncultured bacterium
Lineage: Bacteria
Description: partial 16S ribosomal RNA
Rfam family: Bacterial small subunit ribosomal RNA
Source: RNAcentral